GACAGAGGGUGCAAACGUUGUUCGGAAUUACUGGGCGUAAAGCGCGUGUAGGCGGCUUGGCAAGUCGGGUGUGAAAGCCCUGGGCUUAACCUAGGAAGUGCACACGAAACUGCCGAGCUUGAGUUCUGGAGAGGAAGGCGGAAUUCUCGGUGUAGAGGUGAAAUUCGUAGAUAUCGAGAGGAACACCGGUGGCGAGGGCGGCCUUCUGGACAGCGACUGACGCUGAGACGCGAAAGCGUGGGGAGCAAACAGG
RNAcentral lists this ribosomal RNA (253 nucleotides) under uncultured bacterium. RNAcentral describes it as "partial 16S ribosomal RNA". It matches the Rfam family "Bacterial small subunit ribosomal RNA", at positions 524 to 776 of the family's 1533-position model. The record is from RNAcentral.